Molecule: ribosomal RNA, 472 nt
Filed under: uncultured bacterium
Lineage: Bacteria
Description: partial 16S ribosomal RNA
Rfam family: Bacterial small subunit ribosomal RNA
Source: RNAcentral
GGGGGGGGGGGGGGGGGGGGGGGGGGGGGGGGGGGCGGGCGGGGGGGCCCUGGGGGGUACUCGGGCGGCGAACGGGGGAGGAACACGUGGGGAAUCUGCCCUGGGCUUUGGGAUAACUACCGGGAACGGUGGCUAAUACCGGGUACGACAACCGUCUGCAUGGGCUGGUUGUGGAAAGUUUUUUCGGCCAGGGAUGUGCUCGCGGCCUAUCAGCUUGUUGGUGGGGUAAUGGCCUACCAAGGCUUCGACGGGUAGCCGGCCUGAGAGGGUGACCGGCCACACUGGGACUGAGACACGGCCCAGACUCCUACGGGAGGCAGCAGUGGGGAAUAUUGGACAAUGGGCGGAAGCCUGAUCCAGCAACGCCGCGUGAGGGAUGACGGCCUUCGGGUUGUAAACCUCUUUCAGUACCGACGAAGCGCCGAUGAUGGUGGUGACGGUAGGUACAGAAGAAGCACCGGCCAACUACGUG